UGGGGAAUAUUGCACAAUGGGGGAAACCCUGAUGCAGCGACGCCGCGUGAGCGAAGAAGGUUUUCGAAUCGUAAAGCUCUGUCCUAUGAGAAGAUAAUGACGGUAUCAUAGGAGGAAGCCCCGGCUAAAUACGUGCCAGCAGCCGCGGUAAUACGUAUGGGGCGAGCGUUGUCCGGAAUUAUUGGGCGUAAAGGGUACGUAGGCGGUCUAUUAAGUCAGGUGUGAAAGCGUGAGGCUUAACCUCAUUAAGCACUUGAAACUGAUAGACUUGAGUGAAGGAGAGGAAAGUCGAAUUCCUAGUGUAGCGGUGAAAUGCGUCGAUAUUAGGAGGAAUACCGGUGGCGAAGGCGACUUUCUGGACUUUUACUGACGCUCAGGUACGAAAGCGUGGGUAGCAAACAGG
RNAcentral lists this ribosomal RNA (403 nucleotides) under Verrucomicrobiota bacterium. RNAcentral's name for it is "Verrucomicrobia bacterium partial 16S ribosomal RNA". It matches the Rfam family "Bacterial small subunit ribosomal RNA", at positions 355 to 776 of the family's 1533-position model. The record is from RNAcentral. Lineage: Bacteria; Pseudomonadati; Verrucomicrobiota.